Molecule: ribosomal RNA, 439 nt
Filed under: uncultured Actinomycetes bacterium
Lineage: Bacteria; Bacillati; Actinomycetota; Actinomycetes
Description: bacterial SSU rRNA
Rfam family: Bacterial small subunit ribosomal RNA
Source: RNAcentral
AUGAUCCUCAGCUUGCUGGGGGGAUUAGUGGCGAACGGGUGAGUAACACGUGAGUAACCUGCCCUUGACUCUGGGAUAAGCCUGGGAAACCGGGUCUAAUACUGGAUAUGACCUUCCCACGCAUGUGGUGUUGGUGGAAAGCUUUUGUGGUUUUGGAUGGACUCGCGGCCUAUCAGCUUGUUGGUGGGGUAAUGGCUUACCAAGGCGACGACGGGUAGCCGGCCUGAGAGGGUGACCGGCCACACUGGGACUGAGACACGGCCCAGACUCCUACGGGAGGCAGCAGUGGGGAAUAUUGCACAAUGGGCGCAAGCCUGAUGCAGCGACGCCGCGUGAGGGAUGAAGGCCUUCGGGUUGUAAACCUCUUUCAGUAGGGAAGAAGCUGGUCCUUUUGGGGUUGGUGACGGUACCUGCAGAAGAAGCGCCGGCUAACUACGUG